CUGCUGUUCAAAGAUAUAAACCUUUGAUUGAUGACUUGUUUAGUUACUUCCAUCCGCGAACCUUGCUGGUGAGAAUGGAUAUGGAUGCACCAGAUUAUAACUUUAUACAGUUCCUAUUAGAUGAACUGAAAGACUUGGAAGGGAAAUCGGGAAUGCAAUGUGGCAAGCGAUAUAAAUACAGUAAUAACAUGUUCUGGCUUUGUUUCUUGAAAGAUUAUGAGAUCCUCGAAUCAACAACAAGACAACUCAGCUUGCAAUUCCAAUGGCGCCUCCAUUAGAAAAGCCCCCUCGGCGACAGGCUUUAUCUGAAUAGCUUAUAUCAAGAUAGAAAAGCUGUGUUAGUUUGAUAAUGGUCAUAGUCAGUAUUCUUCAUGAUAUCUGUGAUGCUAUAUACAUUCAAUUUAUAAUUUGGAAAGACGAAGAAAUGUUGAUGCAAAUGGAGUGUGGCGCACAGCUAGUUUCUUACAAUGGAGAAUAAAAAAUUAGGAAGGUCAAUGUUAAUGGUAGUGGCACUGCAGCGACAAGAUGCAUUUCAAGUUUCUUCUCACUCAAAACUGUCAUGGGCGAUAAAGUUUCAGGAUGUUUUUGAAUUUUGGUAGAACAACAACUCCGCCUAUACAUCCCAAAGUCUCUGGAGCUGCAUUUCUGUAGAUCCUUUAAUUCUGCAAUUGUCUGAAUAAAACGAACUAUGGAUCAAAAUAUUGACCUACGAGUCAGAUAUUUUAGUUUGAAGAAGUGCGUUUUGAUUGAAAAAGGUGCUUUGGCGGCCUUUUUUGGGGUAAACAGGAGAUGAUCUUUUGCCUAUAUAUUUAAUGGGGUGCAUCAAUUUGCAGUGGCACUUCCAAGCUAACCCAAUGUAAACCAGUUUUGCUGGCUACUAAGGUGCUAUAG
Molecule: long non-coding RNA, 891 nt
Organism: Capsicum annuum
Lineage: Eukaryota; Viridiplantae; Streptophyta; Magnoliopsida; Solanales; Solanaceae
Exons: 3
Source: RefSeq, a predicted model, not a curated record